GCAAGUCGAACGAUGAAGACCGUGCUUGCACGGUCGGAUUAGUGGCGAACGGGUGAGUAUCACGUGAGUAACCUUCCCUUGACUCUGGGAUAAGCCCGGGAAACUGGGUCUAAUACCGGAUACGACCAGUCCUCGCAUGGGGUGCUGGUGGAAAGAUUUAUCGGUCUUGGAUGGACUCGCGGCCUAUCAGCUUGUUGGUGAGGUAAUGGCUCACCAAGGCGAUGACGGGUAGCCGGCCUGAGAGGGUGACCGGCCACACUGGGACUGAGACACGGCCCAGACUCCUACGGGAGGCAGCAGUGGGGAAUAUUGCACAAUGGGCGAAAGCCUGAUGCAGCGACGCCGCGUGCGGGAUGACGGCCUUCGGGUUGUAAACCGCUUUCAGCAGGGAAGAAGCGAGAGUGACGGUACCUGCAGAAGAAGCGCCGGCUAACUACGUGCCAGCAGCCGCGGUAAUACGUAGGGCGCGAGCGUUAUCCGGAAUUAUUGGGCGUAAAGAGCUCGUAGGCGGUUUGUCACGUCUGCUGUGAAAGCCCGAGGCUCAACCUCGGGUGUGCAGUGGGUACGGGCAGACUAGAGUGCAGUAGGGGAGACUGGAAUUCCUGGUGUAGCGGUGAAAUGCGCAGAUAUCAGGAGGAACACCGAUGGCGAAGGCAGGUCUCUGGGCUGUUACUGACGCUGAGGAGCGAAAGCAUGGGGAG
RNAcentral lists this ribosomal RNA (701 nucleotides) under Actinomycetes bacterium. RNAcentral's name for it is "bacterial SSU rRNA". It matches the Rfam family "Bacterial small subunit ribosomal RNA", at positions 57 to 768 of the family's 1533-position model. The record is from RNAcentral. Lineage: Bacteria; Bacillati; Actinomycetota; Actinomycetes.